AUUGGUCAGAAUGUUCACCUUGAUGAUAUCUAGGUCAUUUUGAAAGUGGGUCACGUGCCUUCAAAAACUAGGUCAGUAGGUCAAAUAAUAGAAAAACCUUGUGACCUCUCUAGAGGCCAUAUUUUUCAUGGGAUCUGUAUGAAAGUUGGUCUGAAUGUUCAUCUUGAUGAUAUCUAGGUCAACUUUGAAAGUGGGUCACGUGCCUUCAAAAACUAGGUCAGUAGGUCAAAUAAUAGAAAAAUCUUGUGACCUCUCUAGAGGCCAUAUUUUUUAUGGGAUCUGUAUGAAAGUUGGUCUGAAUGUUCAUCUUGAUGAUAUCUAGAUCAAGUUAGAAACAGGGUCAUGUGCGGUCUAAAACUAGGUCAGUAGGUCUAAAAAUAGAAAAACCUUGUGACCUCUCUAGAGGCCAUACUUGUGAAUGGAUCUCCAUAAAAAUUGGUCAGAAUGUUCAUCUUGAUGAUAUCUAGGUCAAGUUCGAAAGUGGGUCACGUGCCGUCAAAAAGUAGGUCAGUAGGUCUAUAAUAAAAAACGUUGUGACCUCUCUAGAGGCCAUAUUUUUCAUGGGAUCUGUAUGAAAGUUGGUCUGAAUGUUUAUCUUGAUGAUAUAUAGGUCAAGUUUGAAACUGGGUCAACUGCGAUCAAAAACUAGGUCAGUAGGUCUUGAAAUAGAAAAACCUUUUGACCUCUCUAGAGGCCAUACCCUUGAAUGAAUCUUCAUGAAAAUUGGUCAGAAUGUUCACCUUGAUGAUAUCUAGGUCAAGUUUGAAACUGGGUCACGUGCCUUAAAAAACUAGGUCUGUAGGUCAAAUAAUAAAAAAGCCUUGUGACCUCACUAGAGGCCUUACUUUUCAUGGGAUCUGUAUGAAAGUUGGUCUGAAUGUUCAUCUUGAUGAUAUCAAGGUCAAGUUUGAAACUGGGUCAACUGCGGUCAAAAACUAGGUCAGUAGGUCUAAAAUUAGAAAAAUCUUUUGACCUCUCCAGAGGCCAUAUUUUUCAAUGGAUCUUCAUGAAAAUUGAUCUGAAUGUUCACCUUGAUGAUAUCUAGGUCAGUUUCAAAACUGGGUCACGUGCGGUCAGAAACUAGGCCAGUAGGUAUAUUUUUCAUGGGAUCUGUAUGAAAGUUGGUCUGAAUGUUUAUCUUGAUGAUAUAUAGGUCAAGUUUGAAACUGGGUCAACUGCGAUCAAAACCUAGAUUAGUAGGUCUUGAAAUAGAAAAACCUUGUGACCUCUCUAGAGGCCAUACCCUUGAAUGGAUCUUCAUUGAAAUUGGUCAGAAUGUUCACCUUGAUAUCUAGGUCAAGUUCGAAACUGGGUCAACUGCUAGGUCAGUAGGUCUAAAAAUAGGAAAACCUUGUGACCUCUCUAGAGGCCAUACUUUUCAAUGGAUCUUCAUGAAAGUUGGUCAGAAUGUUCACCUUGAUGAUAUCUAGGUCAAGUUUGAAACUGGGUCACGUGCCUUCAAAAACUAGGUCAGUAGGUCAAAUAAUAAAAAAAACCUUGUGACCUCUAGAGGCCAUAUAUUUCAUGAGAUCUUCAUGAAAAUUGGUCAGAAUGUUCACCUUGAUGAUAUCUAGGUCAUGUUUGAAAGUGGGUCACGUGCCUUCAAAAACUAGGUCAGUAGGUCAAAUAAUAGAAAAACCUUGUGACCUCUCUAGAGGCCAUAUUUUUCAUGGGAUCUGUAUGAAAGUUGGUCUGAAUGUUUAUCUUGAUGAUAUAUAGGUCAAGUUUGAAACUGGGUCAACUGCGAUCAAAACCUAGAUUAGUAGGUCUUGAAAUAGAAAAACCUUGUGACCUCUCUAGAGGCCAUACCCUUGAAUGGAUCUUCAUUGAAAUUGGUCAGAAUGUUCACCUUGAUAUCUAGGUCAAGUUCGAAACUGGGUCAACUGCUAGGUCAGUAGGUCUAAAAAUAGGAAAACCUUGUGACCUCUCUAGAGGCCAUACUUUUCAAUGGAUCUUCAUGAAAGUUGGUCAGAAUGUUCACCUUGAUGAUAUCUAGGUCAAGUUUGAAACUGGGUCACGUGCCUUCAAAAACUAGGUCAGUAGGUCAAAUAAUAAAAAAAACUUUGUGACCUCUAGAGGCCAUAUUUUUCAUGGGAUCUAUAUGAAAAUUGGUCUGAAUGUUCAUCUUGAUGAUAUCUAGGUCAAAUUCGAGACUGGGUGAACUGUGCUCAAAAACUAGGUCCGUAGAUCUAAAAAUAGAAAAACCUUGUGACCUCUUUAGAGGCCAUACUUGUGAAUGGAUCUUCAUAAUUGGUCAGAAUGUUCAUCUUGAUGAUAUCUAGGUCAAGUUUGAAACUGGGUCAUGUGCGGUCCAAAACUAGGUCAGUAGGUUUAAAAAUAGAAAAACCUUGUGACCUCCCUAGAGGCCAUAGUUUUUGAUGGAUCUUCAUGAAAAUUGGUCAGAAUGUUCACCUUGAUGAUAUCUAGGUCAAGUUUGAAACUGGGUCACAUGCCAUCAAUAACUAGGUCAGUAGGUCAAAUAACAAAAAAACCUUGUGACCUCUGUAGAGGCCAUAUUUUUCAUGGGAUCUGUAUGAAAGUUGGUCUGAGUGUUCAUCUUGAUGAUAUCUAGGUCAAGUUUGAAACUGGGUCAACUGCGGUCAAAAACUAGGUCAGUAGGUCUAAAAAUAGAAAAACCUGGUGACCUCUCUAGAGGCCAUACCUUUCAAUGGAUCUUCAUGAAAAUAAGUCAGAAUGUUCACCUUGAUGAUAUCUAGGUCAGAUUCGAAACUGGGUCACGUGCCGUCAAAAACUAGGUCAGUAGGUCUAAAAAUAGAAAAACCUUGUUACCUCUCUAGAGGCCAUACUUGUGAAUGGAUCUUCAUGAAAAUUGGUCAGAAUGUUCCCCUUGAUGAUAUCUAGGUCAAGUUUGAAACUGGGUCACAUGCUAUCAAUAACUAGGUCAGUAGGUCAAAUAAUAAAAAACCUUGUGACCUCUCUAGAGGCCAUAUUUUUCAAUGGAUCUUCAUGAAAAUUGGUUAGAAUUUUUAUCUUGAUGAUAUCUAGGUCAGGUUCAACACUGGGUCACAUGAGCUCAAAAACUAGGUCACAGUGUCAAAUAAUAGAAAACGAUGUCAUACUCGGUUUAAAACUGGGCCAUAUGGGGACAGGUGAACGAUUCAGGACCAUCAUGGUCCUCUUGUUAUUAUUGGCCGUAGGGAAAAAUUGAGACCACUUUUUAGCUCGACUAUUCGAAGAAUAGUCGAGCUAUUCUACUCACCCUGGCGUCGGCGUCGGCGUCGGCGUCACACCUUGGUUAAGUUUUUGCAUGCAAGUACAUACAGCUAUCAUUUAAAGGCAUAUAGCUUUGAAACUUAUUUAUUCUUUUUCUAGGUCAAUUACCAACCUCACUGGGUCGAGUUCCAUAACUCUAACAUGUAUUUUGAGCAAAUUAUGCCCCUUUUUGGACUUAGAAAAUUCUGGUUAAAGUUUUACAUGCAAGUUACUAUCUCCAAAACUAAUGCAGAUAUUGAAUUGAAACUUCACAUGUGUCUUUGGGGUUAUAAAACUAGUUGAUAGCACCAAGUCCCAUAACUCUGACCUUCAUUUUGGCCAAAUUAUGCCCCCUUUUGGACAUAGAAAAUUCUGGUUAAAGUUUUGCGUGCAAGUACAUACAGCUAUUACUAAAAGGCAUAUAGAUUUGAAACUUAUUUUUUCUUUUUCUAGAUCAAUUACCUACCUCACUGGGUCAAGUCCCAUAACUCUGACAUGUAUUUUGGGCAAAUUAUGCCCCCUUUUGGACUUAGAAAUUCUGGUUAAAGUUUUGCGUGCAAGUACAUACAGCUAUUACUAAAAGACAUAUAUAUUUGAAACUUAUUUUUUCUUUUUCUAAAUCAAUUACCUACCUCACUGGGUCAAGUCCCAUAACUCUGACAUGUAUUUUGGGCAAAUUAUGCCCCCUUUUGGACUUAGAAAUUCUGGUUAAAGUUUUGCGUGCAAGUACAUACAGCUAUUACUAAAAGGCAUAUAUAUUUGAAACUUAUUUUUUCUUUUUCUAGAUCAAUUACCUACCUCACCGGGUCAAGUCCCAUAACUCUGACAUGUAUUUUGGGCAAAUUAUGCCCCCUUUUGGACUUAGAAAAUCCUGGUUAAAGUUUUACAUGCAAGUUACUAUCUCCAAAACUAAUGCAGAUAUUGAAUUGAAACUUCACAUGUGUCUUCGGGGUUAUAAAACUAGUUGAUAGAAUCAAGUCCCAUAACUCUGACAUGUAUUUUGGGCAAAUUAUCCUUCCUUUUGGACUUAGAAAAUCCUGGUUAAAGUUUUGCGUGCAAGUACAUACAGCUAUUACCAAAAGGCAUAUAGCUUUGGAACUUAUUUAUUCUUUUUCUAGGCCAAUUACCAAGCUCACUGGGUCAAGUUCCAUAACUCUAAGUUGUAUUUUGAGCAAAUUAUGCCCCCUUUUGGACUUAGAAAAUUCUGGUUAAAGUUUUACAUGCAAGUUACUAUCUCCAAAACUAAUGCAGAUUAUGGAAUUGAAACUUAACAUGUUUCUUCGGGGUUAUAAAACUAGUUGAUAGCAUCAAGUCCCAUAACUCUGAUAUGCAUUUUGGUCAAAUUAUGUCCCCUUUCGAACUUAAAACUCUUUUGAUAUUUAACAUUUUGGGUAAUAAUUUCCUGCUUCUGUGACAAUAUUUCGAAUAGUCGAGCUUGGCUGUCUUACGGACAGCUCUUGUUUGUGGUACAGCAUGGAUGGUACCUCCAAUUUUUAGGUGUAUUUUGACAUAUCUGUACCUUGUAAGAAUUUUUUUUUCUUUUUGGUUAAAUUUCUUCGCUUUGUUGUUCCUGUCCUUUGGACUUAGAUAUUUUUUCUGAGGACCUUCUUGUCCUCAAGUGCUUCUUGUCCUCAAUGAUAACAGGUGAGCGAUAUAGGGCCAUCAUGGCCCUCUUGUUUAAAGUUCUAUUGGGUAAAACAGACAAAGCAACUAGUCAAUGGAGAAUGUGUAUUACCAUAUUUUCCCUAAGUCUUUGGAUACCCUUAAUCUUGAGACACCCCUAAAUCUGUAAAAAUAAUUAUUUUUCAUGUCCCUAAUGUUUUGGACAUGUAUUUUCUCAGAGUAUUUUUCGUCUCUAAGUGUUGGGACUAUUUGUGUGUACCGAUUCAAGAUGUAAAUCAAGUACCGUUAUUAUGCAUUGUAUGGUGUUGUAUCUAUCAAAAUAUCAAAUAAUUAUAAGAACCAAAGAAUAUUUUUUGUAACCUUUUCUGGUCGUUAUUUUAGUGCAUUUGUACUAGCUGAAUUCGGCUAUUCCGUGCCAGUAAAGUGCUUUUUACCAUACCAAUUAAAAGUUGUAUGUUUUGGCUGCAGCCAUUACAGGAAAUCCGUUUUCCAUAAGUUAUUAUGCCCCUCUUCAAAAAAGGAGGGGUAUAUUGUUUUGCAGAUGUCGGUCUGUCUGUUGGUCGGUAUGUAGACCAAUCCGUUUCCGGAUGAUAACUCAAGAACGCUUUUGCCUAGGAUCAUGAAAGUUGAUAGGGAGAUUGGUCAUAACCAGCAGAUGACCCCUAUUGAUUUUGAGAUAAGUAGGUCAAAGGUCAAGGUCACUGUGACCUAGAACAGUUAAAUGGUUUCCUGAUGAUAACUCAAGAACACUUAAGCCUAGGAUCAUGAAAAUUGACAGGAAGGUUGGUCAUGACCAGCAGAUGACUCCUAUUGAUUUUGAGAUCAAUAGGUCAAAGGUCAAGGUCACAGUGACACAGAACAGUUAAACAGUUUCCCGAUGAUAGCUCAAGAAUACUUUGGCCUAUGAUCAUGAAAGUUGACAGGGAGAUUGUUCAUGUCCAGCAGAUGACCCCUAUUGAUUUUAAGGUCAGUAGGUCAGAGGUCAAGGUCACAGUGACCCAGAACAGUUAAACGGUUUCUUGAUGAUAACUCAAGAACGCUUUGGCCUAGGAUCAUGGAACUUAAUAGGGAGGUUGAUCAUGACCAGCAGAUGACCUCCGUUUAUUUUAAGGUCAAUAGGUCAAAGGCCAAGGUCACAUUGACCCAGAACAGUAGAACUUUUGUAUACAAUGACCAAAUAAUUUCUGUUCCUUGUGCAAUUACUGAAUGCAUGAAGGGGGGCAUUUCAUGUUAUACGAGCUCUUGUUUAUUUUUAUUCACGUACUGACUGGAAUUUACCCGCGAAUCAUAACAAGAGGGCCAUGUUGGCCCUAUAUGCGCACCUGUAAACAUGGCCUCAGAAUCAUCAAGAUAAACAUUCUGACCAAGUUUCAAUGAGAUAGGGUCAUAAAUGCGGCUUCUACAAUGUUAACAAGCUUUUUCUUUGACCAUAUGCAAUCAUUCUAUGAAAUACGAGGCUUGAAGACCUAAGCGUUCUUCAGCUACCGAUUGGACCCCCAAAACAAUUGAGGUUAUUUACUGAACACAGGCAAUCAUCCUACAAAGUCUGACCACUGUAGGCCUAAGCAUUCUGUAGUUAUUCAGCAGAAACCAGACUGACAUGAGCAAAACAAUAUUUCUAUUGGAAAGGGGGAGGGAGGAUAAAAAUUCUUUUACAACUGACUAUUGAUGGACAUUGUAAGCCUUUCCCAUCUUCUCCUAUGCCUGGGAAGGGUUAUAAUUGAUUUCUAGUACAAGCAUUUCUGUUAUUAAUUGGUGUAACCCAGAAUAGUAACAAACUCCUUAUUAUUUUUUUAAUAGAUUUAAUAGAAUGUUGUAAGUAAUGUUGAUAAUAUAACAAAGUAUUUACAUCAGCAGUGAUUUUAUUAAGAAUCAUUACAGAUAACUAAUUCACUAUUUAUGUACAAUGCAUUUGUAUUUAAAUACGCAGCAUACUGAAAAAUACAUCAUGUCAGAUGCAGAAUUUAUGUUUAAAAAUUUAUCUGCAUAAAUCAUUGUUCUUUUGACUUGCUUUAGAAAAUUCAAAAUGAUGGUUACAUAAUAUUGAAUCAUGUUCAUUGUUUUGUUUUUGUUGUGUUUAGUGUCACAUAGACACAAACUUUGUCGUAAUAUUGGCUCUACUUUCAACUGUUUUUUCAUAGUUGUACUGUAACAUCUGUCAUUCUUCAGCAUUUAUCAGAUAUGCAUACUAAUAAUUUUUCUGCAUAUUUGUGCUUGGUUAUAUAUGUACAGUACUUUAUCUUACAGUUGAUACAAACAGAUUUGCACAUCUUGAAUGGUAGCAUUCUCAAGAUUGUUUUAUGCUGACUUUGAUUUUUUGUUUGGUUUAAUGUUGCAGUCAUAUAUUGAUUAUCCAGCUUUGAUGGUGGAGGAAGAGGGGGCACCUGGGUAGAACCAUUGACCUCCAGUAAGCCAGCUGGAUGGCUUCCUCAUUAUGACUGAUUAGUUGAAUUUAAGUAAAACAUUAUUGUCUUUAAAAUAGGAAAAAAAUAAAUAAAUAAAAUAUGACAAGACA
Mercenaria mercenaria is the source of this 7351-nucleotide long non-coding RNA. RefSeq lists it as uncharacterized. The record is from RefSeq and is a predicted model, not a curated record. NCBI's taxonomy places the organism in Eukaryota, Metazoa, Mollusca, Bivalvia, Venerida, Veneridae. The transcript has 2 exons.